RNAcentral lists this ribosomal RNA (82 nucleotides) under Thalassiosira punctigera. RNAcentral describes it as "partial Eukaryotic small subunit ribosomal RNA". The record is from RNAcentral. Lineage: Eukaryota; Bacillariophyta; Thalassiosirophyceae; Thalassiosirales; Thalassiosiraceae.
CGGCUCCAAUAGCGUAUUCUAAAGCUGUUGCAGUUAAAAAGCUCGCAGUUGGAUUUCUUGUGCGUGCCGUGCGUCAACUUGU